Molecule: non-coding RNA, 853 nt
Filed under: Penaeus latisulcatus
Lineage: Eukaryota; Metazoa; Arthropoda; Malacostraca; Decapoda; Penaeidae
Description: 12S ribosomal RNA
Rfam family: Microsporidia small subunit ribosomal RNA
Source: RNAcentral
GUAAAGUUUUAUCCUGGCUUAUUCUUUCAUUUUUAGGUUAAAGGUACAUGUAAGAUUUAUCGGGCCAAUAAGUGUUCAAGAUGCUUAAAUAGCCUUGAAUAAUUUAUAAAAUAGAGGGGUCAUUAAAAGUUAAAGUCUCAGUACCUAGUGCUAAUUAGAUAAAUGUAAGUUGGAAUUGGUAAUCCUAAUCGAACGUCUGGCUAAAAUUUGUGCCAGCAGCCGCGGUUAUACUGAGAGACGAAUUGAAAGAAAAUUGGUUAAAAAUAGUUAAAUAUUUAACUUGGGUAAAUUUAUGAGUCCGUACUGAUAAAAGGUGAAAUUAAUUUUUUAGUAUGUGGAAGCAUAAAGUAUAAAGUUUAAAUUGAAGCUAUUAAGGUAAAGAAAUGAACCAGGAUUAGAUACCCUGUUACACUUUACUUAAAUGAUAAUUACCUGGGUACUAAGCAGUUAUUACCUUGAAACUCAAAGGAUUUGGCGGUAACUUAGUCUAUUUAGAGGAACCUGUCCUGUAAUCGAUAGUCCACGCAAUAUCUUACUUUAUCUCGUAGAAAACAGUUUGUAUACCGUCAUUAUUAGAUAACUUUAAAAAAAUAUAGAGUUAUUGCAAUAGUUGAGCUAGUAAAUUAGAUCAAGGUGCAGCUUAUGGUAAAGUAGAGAUGGGUUACAAUAUGAUAAGUAUAAACGGAGCAACGAGUGAAUAUUCAUUGUGAAGGUGGAUUUAAGAGUAAGAAGAUUUUAAUAAGAUCUACUGACUUUAGCUCUAGGUUAUGUACACAUCGCCCGUCGCUCUCGUUAAUUAAAGCGAGAUAAGUCGUAACAUAGUAGGUGUACUGGAAAGUGUACCUAGAAAUUC